GAUGAACGCUGGCGGCGUGCCUAACACAUGCAAGUCGAGCGAAGCAUUUUAAAGGAAGUUUUCGGAUGGAAUUUGAAAUGACUGAGCGGCGGACGGGUGAGUAACGCGUGGGUAACCUGCCUCAUACAGGGGGAUAACAGUUAGAAAUGACUGCUAAUACCGCAUAAGCACACAGUACCGCAUGGUACAGAGUGAAAAACUCCGGUGGUAUGAGAUGGACCCGCGUCUGAUUAGCUGGUUGGUGAGGUAACGGCCCACCAAGGCGACGAUCGGUAGCCGGACUGAGAGGUUGAACGGCCACAUUGGGACUGAGACACGGCCCAG
This 324-nucleotide ribosomal RNA is filed under the name uncultured bacterium. RNAcentral's name for it is "bacterial SSU rRNA". It matches the Rfam family "Bacterial small subunit ribosomal RNA", at positions 28 to 334 of the family's 1533-position model. The record is from RNAcentral.